AAAUCAACCGAGAUUCCCCCAGUAGCGGCGAGCGAACGGGGAGGAGCCCAGAGCCUGAAUCAGUGUGUGUGUUAGUGGAAGCGUCUGGAAAGGCGCGCGAUACAGGGUGACAGCCCCGUACACAAAAAUGCACAUGCUGUGAGCUCGAUGAGUAGGGCGGGACACGUGGUAUCCUGUCUGAAUAUGGGGGGACCAUCCUCCAAGGCUAAAUACUCCUGACUGACCGAUAGUGAACCAGUACCGUGAGGGAAAGGCGAAAAGAACCCCGGCGAGGGGAGUGAAAAAGAACCUGAAACCGUGUACGUACAAGCAGUGGGAGCACGCUUAGGCGUGUGACUGCGUACCUUUUGUAUAAUGGGUCAGCGACUUAUAUUCUGUAGCAAGGUUAACCGAAUAGGGGAGCCGAAGGGAAACCGAGUCUUAACUGGGCGUUAAGUUGCAGGGUAUAGACCCGAAACCCGGUGAUCUAGCCAUGGGCAGGUUGAAGGUUGGGUAACACUAACUGGAGGACCGAACCGACUAAUGUUGAAAAAUUAGCGGAUGACUUGUGGCUGGGGGUGAAAGGCCAAUCAAACCGGGAGAUAGCUGGUUCUCCCCGAAAGCUAUUUAGGUAGCGCCUCGUGAAUUCAUCUCCGGGGGUAGAGCACUGUUUCGGCAAGGGGGUCAUCCCGACUUACCAACCCGAUGCAAACUGCGAAUACCGGAGAAUGUUAUCACGGGAGACACACGGCGGGUGCUAACGUCCGUCGUGAAGAGGGAAACAACCCAGACCGCCAGCUAAGGUCCCAAAGUCAUGGUUAAGUGGGAAACGAUGUGGGAAGGCCCAGACAGCCAGGAUGUUGGCUUAGAAGCAGCCAUCAUUUAAAGAAAGCGUAAUAGCUCACUGGUCGAGUCGGCCUGCGCGGAAGAUGUAACGGGGCUAAACCAUGCACCGAAGCUGCGGCAGCGACGCUUAUGCGUUGUUGGGUAGGGGAGCGUUCUGUAAGCCUGCGAAGGUGUGCUGUGAGGCAUGCUGGAGGUAUCAGAAGUGCGAAUGCUGACAUAAGUAACGAUAAAGCGGGUGAAAAGCCCGCUCGCCGGAAGACCAAGGGUUCCUGUCCAACGUUAAUCGGGGCAGGGUGAGUCGACCCCUAAGGCGAGGCCGAAAGGCGUAGUCGAUGGGAAACAGGUUAAUAUUCCUGUACUUGGUGUUACUGCGAAGGGGGGACGGAGAAGGCUAUGUUGGCCGGGCGACGGUUGUCCCGGUUUAAGCGUGUAGGCUGGUUUUCCAGGCAAAUCCGGAAAAUCAAGGCUGAGGCGUGAUGACGAGGCACUACGGUGCUGAAGCAACAAAUGCCAUGCUUCCAGGAAAAGCCUCUAAGCAUCAGGUAACAUCAAAUCGUACCCCAAACCGACACAGGUGGUCAGGUAGAGAAUACCAAGGCGCUUGAGAGAACUCGGGUGAAGGAACUAGGCAAAAUGGUGCCGUAACUUCGGGAGAAGGCACGCUGAUAUGUAGGUGAAGCGACUUGCUCGUGGAGCUGAAAUCAGUCGAAGAUACCAGCUGGCUGCAACUGUUUAUUAAAAACACAGCACUGUGCAAACACGAAAGUGGACGUAUACGGUGUGACGCCUGCCCGGUGCCGGAAGGUUAAUUGAUGGGGUCAGCGCAAGCGAAGCUCUUGAUCGAAGCCCCGGUAAACGGCGGCCGUAACUAUAACGGUCCUAAGGUAGCGAAAUUCCUUGUCGGGUAAGUUCCGACCUGCACGAAUGGCGUAAUGAUGGCCAGGCUGUCUCCACCCGAGACUCAGUGAAAUUGAACUCGCUGUGAAGAUGCAGUGUACCCGCGGCAAGACGGAAAGACCCCGUGAACCUUUACUAUAGCUUGACACUGAACAUUGAGCCUUGAUGUGUAGGAUAGGUGGGAGGCUUUGAAGUGUGGACGCCAGUCUGCAUGGAGCCGACCUUGAAAUACCACCCUUUAAUGUUUGAUGUUCUAACGUUGACCCGUAAUCCGGGUUGCGGACAGUGUCUGGUGGGUAGUUUGACUGGGGCGGUCUCCUCCUAAAGAGUAACGGAGGAGCACGAAGGUUGGCUAAUCCUGGUCGGACAUCAGGAGGUUAGUGCAAUGGCAUAAGCCAGCUUGACUGCGAGCGUGACGGCGCGAGCAGGUGCGAAAGCAGGUCAUAGUGAUCCGGUGGUUCUGAAUGGAAGGGCCAUCGCUCAACGGAUAAAAGGUACUCCGGGGAUAACAGGCUGAUACCGCCCAAGAGUUCAUAUCGACGGCGGUGUUUGGCACCUCGAUGUCGGCUCAUCACAUCCUGGGGCUGAAGUAGGUCCCAAGGGUAUGGCUGUUCGCCAUUUAAAGUGGUACGCGAGCUGGGUUUAGAACGUCGUGAGACAGUUCGGUCCCUAUCUGCCGUGGGCGCUGGAGAACUGAGGGGGGCUGCUCCUAGUACGAGAGGACCGGAGUGGACGCAUCACUGGUGUUCGGGUUGUCAUGCCAAUGGCACUGCCCGGUAGCUAAAUGCGGAAGAGAUAAGUGCUGAAAGCAUCUAAGCACGAAACUUGCCCCGAGAUGAGUUCUCCCUGACUCCUUGAGAGUCCUGAAGGAACGUUGAAGACGACGACGUUGAUAGGCCGGGUGUGUAAGCGCAGCGAUGCGUUGAGCUAACCGGUACUAAUGAACCGUGAGGCUUAACCUUACAACGCCGAAG
Molecule: ribosomal RNA, 2696 nt
Filed under: Escherichia coli
Lineage: Bacteria; Pseudomonadati; Pseudomonadota; Gammaproteobacteria; Enterobacterales; Enterobacteriaceae
Description: partial 23S ribosomal RNA
Rfam family: Bacterial large subunit ribosomal RNA
Source: RNAcentral